AGGGAUAUAGUUCAGUUGGUAGAACGCAGGUCUCCAAAACCUGAUGUCGUAGGUUCGAGUCCUACUAUCCCUG
Clostridiales bacterium GWD2_32_59 is the source of this 73-nucleotide non-coding RNA. The record is from Rfam. NCBI's taxonomy places the organism in Bacteria, Bacillati, Bacillota, Clostridia, Eubacteriales.